This 490-nucleotide ribosomal RNA is filed under the name uncultured bacterium. Its description in RNAcentral is "bacterial SSU rRNA". It matches the Rfam family "Bacterial small subunit ribosomal RNA", at positions 903 to 1397 of the family's 1533-position model. The record is from RNAcentral.
AAAUGAAUAGACGGGGACCCGCACAAGCAGCGGAGCAUGUGGUUUAAUUCGAAGCAACGCGAAGAACCUUACCAGGGCUUGACAUCCCCCUGAAGGCGCCGUAACGGGCGCCGCCCUCGGGCAGGGGAGACAGGUGGUGCAUGGUUGUCGUCAGCUCGUGUCGUGAGAUGUUGGGUUAAGUCCCGCAACGAGCGCAACCCUUGUCAUUAGUUGCCAUCAUUAGGUUGGGCACUCUAGUGAGACUGCCGGGGACAACUCGGAGGAAGGUGGGGAUGACGUCAAAUCAUCAUGCCCCUUAUGCCCUGGGCCACACACGUGCUACAAUGGCCGGCACAGAGAGACGCGAUGCCGCGAGGCGGAGCAAAUCCCAAAAACCGGUCCCAGUUCGGAUUGCAGGCUGAAACCCGCCUGCAUGAAGCCGGAGUUGCUAGUAAUCGCGGAUCAGAAUGCCGCGGUGAAUGCGUUCCCGGGUCUUGUACACACCGCCCGU